Long non-coding RNA from Thalassophryne amazonica, 136 nucleotides. RefSeq lists it as uncharacterized. The transcript has 3 exons. The record is from RefSeq and is a predicted model, not a curated record. Lineage: Eukaryota; Metazoa; Chordata; Actinopteri; Batrachoidiformes; Batrachoididae.
UGAUGACAAAUAAGUGUCUCGUUCCAGUGGACAAGGCAAAGAGACUGUAAACUUAACAAUUGAGUGAUCUGAAACCACUGACGCAAGAGACACAAUGUCAAUAUUUGUGACAGCAAUACACAAAGUACACUGAAAA